GAUUAAGUUAUUAAGGGCGCACGGUGGAUGCCUUGGCACUAGAAGCCGAUGAAGGACGUUACUAACGACGAUAUGCUUUGGGGAGCUGUAAGUAAGCUUUGAUCCAGAGAUUUCCGAAUGGGGAAACCCAGCACGAGUUAUGUCGUGUUAUCUGCAUGUGAAUACAUAGCAUGCAAGAAGGCA
RNAcentral lists this ribosomal RNA (183 nucleotides) under Staphylococcus pseudintermedius. Its description in RNAcentral is "partial 23S ribosomal RNA". It matches the Rfam family "Bacterial large subunit ribosomal RNA", at positions 1 to 182 of the family's 2925-position model. The record is from RNAcentral. Lineage: Bacteria; Bacillati; Bacillota; Bacilli; Caryophanales; Staphylococcaceae.